GGGAGUGAGAGAGCUCUUAUCGCCUCCCCACCCUCUGUCAUUUCCUUCGUCCUUCUCCAUCAUCACAGCAUCACUAGCGAAGGCCUCAAAUCUGCUCCGACACUGGUGCGAGCAAAAACUUCGGCCAUCACCAUUGAGCUUCCUCCCUCUCUAUUCAGCCACAGAGGUUCUCUACUCUUUCCGAACAACAAGAAGAUUCAGGUGCGUCGCCGUUCUGGUGUGGCUAUGCGAGUGCGUAGACAUUUUUCCCCUCCUUCUUAAGCUCGCAGCUGCUUCUAUUUUCUCUGCUCCAGCCAUCACUCCUUCUCGUCCGUUCAAGCUGCUGCAGGGGUGUGUGAAAAUCUUCCACUCCCCUGCGUUGCGUCGCCGUCGUUCACUGCUGUAGGAGCCUCAUCGAACACCCAGCUUCUUCCUUCAGUGACUCAUGUCGUCACUAUUCUUCUCCCAUGUAUUGCUGUUGCUGAUCUAGCUUGAGGGAGGGAUCUGAAAUUUUCUCCCUGUUUCGUUGUAUUGCUUAAAGGUAAUAGAGGAGUUUGAAGAUAAUUGAGAGGUCUAUAAGGAAUAAGCUAUUAUCUUGGGAGUUUAUCAGGAGGUGCUAGCCCUGUACGAUGGCCAACGCAUGUGGAAUGGAGGGACGGUUAUUCAUGAGCAUCGUACUCACGUUUGUUUCAUGGCUUCAAUCGCGUUUGGUUAGUUACCCUCAUGGACUGUGUGUCCAUGUCUGUUUCGUGGCUUCGGUUGCAUUUGGUUACUUAUUCUCAUGGACUGUGUGUCCACAUUUGUCCUCGUGGCAUGGGUCACAUUUGGUUAUUUACCCUCGUGAACUGUGUGUCCAUAUUUAUUAAUUGUUCUGAUAAGUUCUUAUAAUGAAAAAUUUGAUAAUUUAGUCAUUUUAUA
Molecule: long non-coding RNA, 897 nt
Organism: Prosopis cineraria
Lineage: Eukaryota; Viridiplantae; Streptophyta; Magnoliopsida; Fabales; Fabaceae
Exons: 3
Source: RefSeq, a predicted model, not a curated record